This 478-nucleotide ribosomal RNA is filed under the name uncultured bacterium. RNAcentral's name for it is "partial 16S ribosomal RNA". It matches the Rfam family "Bacterial small subunit ribosomal RNA", at positions 28 to 523 of the family's 1533-position model. The record is from RNAcentral.
GACGAACGCUGGCGGCGUGCUUAACACAUGCAAGUCGAACGGUAAGGCCCUUCGGGGUACACGAGUGGCGAACGGGUGAGUAACACGUGGGUGAUCUGCCCUGCACUUCGGGAUAAGCCUGGGAAACUGGGUCUAAUACCGGAUAGGACCACUGCCCGCAUGGGCGGUGGUGGAAAGCUUUUGCGGUGUGGGAUGGGCCCGCGGACUAUCAGCUUGUUGGUGGGGUGAUGGCCUACCAAGGCGACGACGGGUAGCCGGCCUGAGAGGGUGACCGGCCACACUGGGACUGAGAUACGGCCCAGACUCCUACGGGAGGCAGCAGUGGGGAAUAUUGCACAAUGGGCGCAAGCCUGAUGCAGCGACGCCGCGUGAGGUAUGACGGCCUUCGGGUUGUAAACCUCUUUCAGCACCGACGAAGCGCAAGUGACGGUAGGUGCAGAAGAAGGACCGGCCAACUACGUGCCAGCCGCCGCAGUAA